RNAcentral lists this ribosomal RNA (1528 nucleotides) under Escherichia coli. RNAcentral's name for it is "bacterial SSU rRNA". It matches the Rfam family "Bacterial small subunit ribosomal RNA". Lineage: Bacteria; Pseudomonadati; Pseudomonadota; Gammaproteobacteria; Enterobacterales; Enterobacteriaceae. RNAcentral also lists the same sequence under 18 other names. The record is from RNAcentral.
AGAGUUUGAUCCUGGCUCAGGACGAACGCUGGCGGCGUGCCUAAUACAUGCAAGUAGAACGCUGAAGAGAGGAGCUUGCUCUUCUUGGAUGAGUUGCGAACGGGUGAGUAACGCGUAGGUAACCUGCCUUGUAGCGGGGGAUAACUAUUGGAAACGAUAGCUAAUACCGCAUAACAAUGGAUGACACAUGUCAUUUAUUUGAAAGGGGCAAUUGCUCCACUACAAGAUGGACCUGCGUUGUAUUAGCUAGUAGGUGAGGUAACGGCUCACCUAGGCGACGAUACAUAGCCGACCUGAGAGGGUGAUCGGCCACACUGGGACUGAGACACGGCCCAGACUCCUACGGGAGGCAGCAGUAGGGAAUCUUCGGCAAUGGGGGCAACCCUGACCGAGCAACGCCGCGUGAGUGAAGAAGGUUUUCGGAUCGUAAAGCUCUGUUGUAAGUCAAGAACGAGUGUGAGAGUGGAAAGUUCACACUGUGACGGUAGCUUACCAGAAAGGGACGGCUAACUACGUGCCAGCAGCCGCGGUAAUACGUAGGUCCCGAGCGUUGUCCGGAUUUAUUGGGCGUAAAGCGAGCGCAGGCGGUUUGAUAAGUCUGAAGUUAAAGGCUGUGGCUCAACCAUAGUUCGCUUUGGAAACUGUCAAACUUGAGUGCAGAAGGGGAGAGUGGAAUUCCAUGUGUAGCGGUGAAAUGCGUAGAUAUAUGGAGGAACACCGGUGGCGAAAGCGGCUCUCUGGUCUGUAACUGACGCUGAGGCUCGAAAGCGUGGGGAGCGAACAGGAUUAGAUACCCUGGUAGUCCACGCCGUAAACGAUGAGUGCUAGGUGUUGGAUCCUUUCCGGGAUUCAGUGCCGCAGCUAACGCAUUAAGCACUCCGCCUGGGGAGUACGACCGCAAGGUUGAAACUCAAAGGAAUUGACGGGGGCCCGCACAAGCGGUGGAGCAUGUGGUUUAAUUCGAAGCAACGCGAAGAACCUUACCAGGUCUUGACAUCCCGAUGCUAUUUCUAGAGAUAGAAAGUUACUUCGGUACAUCGGUGACAGGUGGUGCAUGGUUGUCGUCAGCUCGUGUCGUGAGAUGUUGGGUUAAGUCCCGCAACGAGCGCAACCCCUAUUGUUAGUUGCCAUCAUUCAGUUGGGCACUCUAGCGAGACUGCCGGUAAUAAACCGGAGGAAGGUGGGGAUGACGUCAAAUCAUCAUGCCCCUUAUGACCUGGGCUACACACGUGCUACAAUGGUUGGUACAACGAGUUGCGAGUCGGUGACGGCAAGCUAAUCUCUUAAAGCCAAUCUCAGUUCGGAUUGUAGGCUGCAACUCGCCUACAUGAAGUCGGAAUCGCUAGUAAUCGCGGAUCAGCACGCCGCGGUGAAUACGUUCCCGGGCCUUGUACACACCGCCCGUCACACCACGAGAGUUUGUAACACCCGAAGUCGGUGAGGUAACCUUUUGGAGCCAGCCGCCUAAGGUGGGAUAGAUGAUUGGGGUGAAGUCGUAACAAGGUAGCCGUAUCGGAAGGUGCGGCUG